UACGUAGGGGGCAAGCGUUGUCCGGAUUUAUUGGGCGUAAAGAGCGUGUAGGCGGCUAGAUAGGUCCGUUGUGAAAACUCGAGGCUCAACCUCGAGACGUCGAUGGAAACCAUCUGGCUAGAGUCCGGAAGAGGAGAGUGGAAUUCCUGGUGUAGUGGUGAAAUGCGUAGAGAUCGGCAGGAACACCCAGGGGGAAACCAGCGGACUGGGCAUCAGCUGACGCUCAGGUGCGACAGCGUGGGGAGCGAACCGG
RNAcentral lists this ribosomal RNA (253 nucleotides) under uncultured bacterium. RNAcentral's name for it is "partial 16S ribosomal RNA". It matches the Rfam family "Bacterial small subunit ribosomal RNA", at positions 524 to 776 of the family's 1533-position model. The record is from RNAcentral.